UCUUGAGCAGAGAAGGGACGUGCCUCCAGUUGAGUUUGAGGGCUUGUCAUACAGGAGAUGUGAUACUUCCUCACCUCACAUCUGGAAGGUGAAGGUUGAAGGUGUGGCUGUCAUUUGCAGUGCUCUUUCCUUUAGUUAAUCCUGUGAGUAUUGUCCAGGUGCCAGCAUGGACAAUGGAACAGCACUGUUGGAUUUUGCUCUCUAACUGUACCUGGCAGUGAGAAAGAAAAAUAACAACACACCCAUGGUUAUGGAGGUUACUUGGGAGGAAAAUGUCAUGUGCCAGAAACGUGGCUGGGAAAUGCCAGUACUCUAUCUUUUAUGAUAAGAACAAAGGACCAAAUCCUGAAGUUCUUCCUAGGAUGGGCUCCUAGUCAAAUCUUCUUCCCUUCAGUUCUCCAUAAGCCUACAGAGGAAGUAUUACAGGUAGAUGUUUCUCUUUGAAAUCUAAGAAGAGAGGGUAAAACCAGUCUUCGUGUUAGCCUAGUUGGCUGAGAUCAGCUACAGGCAGAAUAUAGAUGAUUUAUCCUGGUGAGCCAUGGUUAGA
Molecule: long non-coding RNA, 547 nt
Organism: Vidua chalybeata
Lineage: Eukaryota; Metazoa; Chordata; Aves; Passeriformes; Viduidae
Exons: 3
Source: RefSeq, a predicted model, not a curated record